AGUGAACGCUGGCGGCAGGCCUAACACAUGCAAGUCGAACGGCAGCACAGGAGAGCUUGCUCUCUGGGUGGCGAGUGGCGGACGGGUGAGGAAUACAUCGGAAUCUGCUCAGUCGUGGGGGAUAACGUAGGGAAACUUACGCUAAUACCGCAUAUGACCUUAGGGUGAAAGUGGAGGAUCGCAAGACCUCUCGCGAGUGGAUGAGCCGUUGUCGGAUUCGCUAGUUGGAGGGGUAAUGGCUCACCAAGUCGACGAUCCGUAGCUGGUCUGAGAGGGUGAGCAGCCACAGUAGAUCUGAGACACGGUCCAGUCUUCUGCGAGGGGCAGGAGUGGGAAAUAUUGGACAAUGGGCGCAAGUCUGAUCCAGCCAUACCGCGUGUGUGAAGAAGGCCUUGGGGUUGUAAAGCCCUUUUGUUGGGAAAGAAAUCUUUCAAGCUAAUACGCUGGGAGGGAGACUAGACCCAAAGAAUGAGCACGGGCUAACCGCG
This 488-nucleotide ribosomal RNA is filed under the name uncultured bacterium. RNAcentral describes it as "partial 16S ribosomal RNA". It matches the Rfam family "Bacterial small subunit ribosomal RNA", at positions 29 to 505 of the family's 1533-position model. The record is from RNAcentral.